UAAGGGCCCAUAAAUUCAAGGUAUGUUAGCAAAUGCUGCUCUAUUGACCCCUAAUAGGCUUAAYUGUCUUUAGCGCGUGUCUCUACGAGUUCUUUAAAGCACUGCGCAUGCUGUUGGGUCCUGAAAGCAACGAACGUGACCGCAACGUCUUGUUGCCUCUCUAUAAUACCUUCUUAUUUUUAAUAAGAGUAUUUACCUGAGGCUAUUUUAAAACUAGACGGACCGCUGUUUCUUUCUUAAACCAGAGGAAGGUUGCGGCAAUAACAGGUCUGUGAUGCCCUUAGAUGUUCCGGGCUGCACACGUGCUACAAUGAUCAGUACAGUGAGCAUCUCAAUUUUAUAACACCGUAUUAAGCGCUUGGGUCGUAAUUGUUAGGCCUUUUAGGUUUUUUCAAUUGCGUUUCUCCAAUGCGCACGGUAAAGCCUGCUUCGAGAGUAAGUGGGUAAUCCAUUGGAAGUAAUGAUUUCCUUAUUUUUAUAAACAGCACACCAAUAUACGGCAUUCAUUCCCGAGACGGCUUAGUUCCGACUUUGUGCGAAUGUAAUGUAUUCUUAUCCGUAUGUGCGAUUGUCAAUUCAUGGUGGGGACAGACCAUUGUUAAUUGUUGGUCUCGGUCUUAA
Molecule: ribosomal RNA, 621 nt
Filed under: Globorotalia inflata
Lineage: Eukaryota; Foraminifera; Rotaliida; Globorotaliidae
Description: SSU rRNA
Rfam family: Eukaryotic small subunit ribosomal RNA
Source: RNAcentral